AAAAGCUCGUAGUUGGAUCUCAGCUGUGGCCGGACGGUCCGCCUACCGGCGGUUACUGUUCGAGCCAAGCGUUCAGGCGGUUAUCUUUGAUGAUCUUCACCGGUUGUCUCGGGUGACCGCCAAGUUUACUUUGAAAAAAUUAGAGUGCUCAAAGCAGUCGUGAUGACUGAAUAAUCGUGCAUGGAAUAAUGGAAUAGGACCUCGGUUCUAUUUUGUUGGUUUUCGGAACACGAGGUAAUGAUUAAGAGGGACAGACGGGGGCAUUCGUAUUGCGACGCUAGAGGUGAAAUUCUUGGACCGUCGCAAGACGAACUACUGCGAAAGCAUUUGCCAAGAAUGUUUCCAUUAAUCAAGAACGAAAGUUAGAGGUUCGAAGGCGAUCAGAUACCGCCCUAGUUCUAACCAUAAACGAUGCCAGCCAGCAAUCCGCCUGUGUUCCUCAAAUGACACGGCGGGCGGCUUCCGGGAAACCAAAGCUUUUGGGUUCCGGGGGAAGUAUGGUUGCAAAGCUGAAACUUAAAGGAAUUGACGGAAGGGCACCACCAGAAAUGGAGCCUGCGGCUUAAUUUGACUCAACACGGGAAAACUUACCCGGCCCGGACACAGGAAGGAUUGACAGAUUAAGAGCUCUUUCUUGAUUCUGUGGGUGGUGGUGCAUGGCCGUUCUUAGUUGGUGGGGCGACUUGUCUGGUUAAUUCCGAUAACGAACGAGACUCUAGCCUACUAAAUAGACGUUCCGAUCCUCUUUCGUCGGACGUUCUUCUUAGAGGGACAAGCGGCGUUUAGCCGCACGAGACAGAGCAAUAACAGGUCUGGGAUGCCCUUAGAUGUCCGGGGCCGCACGCGCGCUACAUUGAAGGAAUCAGCGUGUGCUUUCCCUGUCCGAAAGGACUGGGUAACCCGUUGAACCUCCUUCGUGCUGGGGAUUGCCGUCUGUAAGACCGGUAUGAACGAGGAAUUCCCAGUAAGCACGAGUCAUCAGCUCGUGUUGAUUACGUCCCUGCCCUUUGUCCACACCGCCCGUCGCUACUACCGAUUGAAUGAUUUAGUGAGGUCUUCGGACUGGCGCUCGGAUUGGCCUUCGCGGUCGAGCCGGUGUGCCGGAAAGAUGACCAAACUUGAUCAUUUAGAGGAAGUAAAAGUCGUAACAAGGUUUU
This 1157-nucleotide ribosomal RNA is filed under the name Hingstepeira folisecens. RNAcentral describes it as "SSU rRNA". It matches the Rfam family "Eukaryotic small subunit ribosomal RNA", at positions 622 to 1803 of the family's 1831-position model. Lineage: Eukaryota; Metazoa; Arthropoda; Arachnida; Araneae; Araneidae. The record is from RNAcentral.